Molecule: small nuclear RNA, 107 nt
Organism: Aotus nancymaae (Ma's night monkey)
Lineage: Eukaryota; Metazoa; Chordata; Mammalia; Primates; Aotidae
Source: Ensembl
GUGCUCGCUUCAGCAGCAUACAUACUAAAAAGUUGGAACAAUACAGAGAAGAUUAGCAUGGCCCCUGUGCAAGGACGACGAAAAUUCAUGAAGUGUUCCAUAUCGAU